This 70-nucleotide transfer RNA is filed under the name Heterocephalus glaber (naked mole-rat). It matches the Rfam family "tRNA". Rfam says of the family: Transfer RNA (tRNA) molecules are approximately 80 nucleotides in length. Their secondary structure includes four short double-helical elements and three loops (D, anti-codon, and T loops). Further hydrogen bonds mediate the characteristic L-shaped molecular structure. tRNAs have two regions of fundamental functional importance: the anti-codon, which is responsible for specific mRNA codon recognition, and the 3' end, to which the tRNAs corresponding amino acid is attached (by aminoacyl-tRNA synthetases). tRNAs cope with the degeneracy of the genetic code in two manners: having more than one tRNA (with a specific anti-codon) for a particular amino acid; and 'wobble' base-pairing, i.e. permitting non-standard base-pairing at the 3rd anti-codon position. Lineage: Eukaryota; Metazoa; Chordata; Mammalia; Rodentia; Bathyergidae. The record is from Rfam by way of RNAcentral.
GGGGAUGUAGCUCAGUGGGAAAGCACUUGCCUAGUAUGCAUGAGGCCUGGUUUGAUCCCCAGCACAUCCC